RNAcentral lists this transfer RNA (76 nucleotides) under Candidatus Paracaedimonas acanthamoebae. Its description in RNAcentral is "tRNA-Lys". It matches the Rfam family "tRNA". From Rfam's summary of the family: Transfer RNA (tRNA) molecules are approximately 80 nucleotides in length. Their secondary structure includes four short double-helical elements and three loops (D, anti-codon, and T loops). Lineage: Bacteria; Pseudomonadati; Pseudomonadota; Alphaproteobacteria; Holosporales; Caedimonadaceae. The record is from RNAcentral. RNAcentral also lists the same sequence under 2 other names.
GGGCAUUUAGCUCAGUCGGUAGAGCACCUGACUUUUAAUCAGGGAGUCAUAGGUUCGAAUCCUAUAAUGCCCACCA